AGUGAACGCUGGCGGUAGGCCUAACACAUGCAAGUCGAACGGCAGCACAGUAAGAGCUUGCUCUUACGGGUGGCGAGUGGCGGACGGGUGAGGAAUACAUCGGAAUCUACUUUUUCGUGGGGGAUAACGUAGGGAAACUUACGCUAAUACCGCAUACGACCUACGGGUGAAAGCAGGGGAUCUUCGGACCUUGCGCGAUUGAAUGAGCCGAUGUCGGAUUAGCUAGUUGGCGGGGUAAAGGCCCACCAAGGCGACGAUCCGUAGCUGGUCUGAGAGGAUGAACCGGCAAACUUGAACUGGGAAAAGGUUCCGACUCCCACGGGAGGCAGCAGUGGGGAAUAUUGGACAAUGGGCGCAAGCCUGAUCCAGCCAUACCGCGUGGGUGAAGAAGGCCUUCGGGUUGUAAAGCCCUUUUGUUGGGAAAGAAAAGCAGCAGGUUAAUACCCCGCUGUUCUGACGGUACCCAAAGAAUAAGCACCGGCUAACUUCGUG
This 492-nucleotide ribosomal RNA is filed under the name uncultured bacterium. RNAcentral's name for it is "partial 16S ribosomal RNA". It matches the Rfam family "Bacterial small subunit ribosomal RNA", at positions 29 to 507 of the family's 1533-position model. The record is from RNAcentral.